RNAcentral lists this ribosomal RNA (932 nucleotides) under Klebsiella quasipneumoniae subsp. similipneumoniae. Its description in RNAcentral is "partial 23S ribosomal RNA". It matches the Rfam family "Bacterial large subunit ribosomal RNA", at positions 590 to 1527 of the family's 2925-position model. RNAcentral also lists the same sequence under 1 other name. Lineage: Bacteria; Pseudomonadati; Pseudomonadota; Gammaproteobacteria; Enterobacterales; Enterobacteriaceae. The record is from RNAcentral.
GGUGUGACUGCGUACCUUUUGUAUAAUGGGUCAGCGACUUAUAUUCUGUAGCAAGGUUAACCGUAUAGGGGAGCCGCAGGGAAACCGAGUCUUAACUGGGCGUUAAGUUGCAGGGUAUAGACCCGAAACCCGGUGAUCUAGCCAUGGGCAGGUUGAAGGUUGGGUAACACUAACUGGAGGACCGAACCGACUAAUGUUGAAAAAUUAGCGGAUGACUUGUGGCUGGGGGUGAAAGGCCAAUCAAACCGGGAGAUAGCUGGUUCUCCCCGAAAGCUAUUUAGGUAGCGCCUCGUGAACUCAUCUUCGGGGGUAGAGCACUGUUUCGGCUAGGGGGUCAUCCCGACUUACCAACCCGAUGCAAACUACGAAUACCGAAGAAUGUUAUCACGGGAGACACACGGCGGGUGCUAACGUCCGUCGUGAAGAGGGAAACAACCCAGACCGCCAGCUAAGGUCCCAAAGUCAUGGUUAAGUGGGAAACGAUGUGGGAAGGCACAGACAGCCAGGAUGUUGGCUUAGAAGCAGCCAUCAUUUAAAGAAAGCGUAAUAGCUCACUGGUCGAGUCGGCCUGCGCGGAAGAUGUAACGGGGCUAAACCAUGCACCGAAGCUGCGGCAGCGACACUAUGUGUUGUUGGGUAGGGGAGCGUUCUGUAAGCCUGCGAAGGUGACCUGUGAGGGUUGCUGGAGGUAUCAGAAGUGCGAAUGCUGACAUAAGUAACGAUAAAGCGGGUGAAAAGCCCGCUCGCCGGAAGACCAAGGGUUCCUGUCCAACGUUAAUCGGGGCAGGGUGAGUCGACCCCUAAGGCGAGGCCGAAAGGCGUAGUCGAUGGGAAACAGGUUAAUAUUCCUGUACUUGGUGUUACUGCGAAGGGGGGACGGAGAAGGCUAUGUUAGCCGGGCGACGGUUGUCCCGGUUUAAGCAUGUAGGCUG